AAAGAACAACACGCAUGUUUGAUUCUUCUUCUCAAAAGAACGCAGCUCGAAAACAUAAAAUCCCAAAUUGAUUCUUGUUCUUAUAUUGGUUCAUCCCCAAAUUGAAUCUACUUCUCAAAAUCAAUUCCGGUCGAAAAGAAAACACAAACUGGCGCAUGAUUCUGCUCACAAACUAAACCCUAAUUCGUUUCGUUGUGUUGAUUGUGCUCACAAACUCAGAAAUUGAUUCUUCUCCCUAAACUCAUGAACCCUAAUCCGUUCAGUUGUUGACCUGAGAAAGAUGAAGAAACGCGAUUCAUUCCAAGAAAGCAACAAACCCCAGCCUCAUUAAAAGAAACGCGAUUCCUUCACUACGUGCUUUUCGUCUCGACAAAACGCUAUUCUUUCCUUUCGUUCCGACAUCUAUUCUGGCAAGGUACUCACACUUUGAUUCAUUUUCAAAUCUUAUAUGGGAGGAGAGAAGGGUAGAAAACUCGUUGUUUGUUAUUAGGUGGAGAAUGUGGUUCUCUGCAAGGGGUUUCUCUUUUGCACUAGUUUGUUAUUAAUCCGUAAUAAAGUUUCUAUUAUGCCAUCUUAGGCUAAUGUAAUUUUGAACGGGAGAUGUUUAGAUAAACAGUUUAAUUUUUAUUCAAUAAGCACUUAUUGUGUAAGUGCUUAUGUAUAUCUAUAAUGAGAAAAAAAAAUGAUGGUCACAUAAAAUUCUGAACAAGCUUUUUGAUCAACUGUACUAGGGAGUUUAGUAAACUAAACUUUAACUUGGAUAAUUUUGAAGUAUUUUCUAGCUAUGUCUAAGAAAUAAGAAUAGUGAAACAUUUAUGCUUGUAUUCAAUUUUUUUGGUGGUGCAUAUUGUGUGAAGUUGACGGAGGAGUUUGUCGGGGAUUGGUGGGAGUGAUUUAGGGGAUUUGGGUGAUUGGAGUAUUUUGGAGAGGUGUUAUAUGGAAAGAAUGUUGGUGGCUAAGAUUGCUAUUAGGAGGAGGAGGUUUACAGUCAUGGUGCUGAAGGUGACAUAUCUUCUAUUCGGAGAUUCUUUACAAUUUAGAAAUGCAAAUGUUUUAUUUGUUACCAUUUUUAAUUUAUAGAUUUGGAGCUAUAGAUUUCUAUGGUGCAUAGACAUAUCGAAACAAUUGCUUGAUUGCUGUUGAUGUGCUUACAGGUUUGUCGUCAAGUUGAUUACACCAGUGUCUGUGUUUUUUGCCUUUUGAUAUCAUUAACUCUUGCAGUAAAAACUGUUGACUAGCGAGUAUGUGGCAAAUUGCAAAAUAAUAUGCAACAGGUAGUUUGAGUUUGUAUCAUUUUGAUUCAUGCUAUAAUAUCUAUGAGAAUUCUGCAUAAUUGGUACUGAUUAAGAUGCCUAUACUGAUUUGAGAUGAUUGAUUCUAUGAUCAUCUUUGUUAAAGAAUCAAGUAUUGUUGAACUUCAUAAGGGUACUUUUAAUGUGUUCUCAAUUUAAUUUUUAUGUUCAAAUUUCAGAACCAUUGAAGAUUGCUAUAGAUACAUAUCCAAUUAACUCCUAUUAUAUAGUAUAAUCUCCUUUGUUUUUUAUUUUCUUCAUGUGUAUUAAUAUAUAAAAGGUUUGUUUUGACAAUGAAUAAUAACAGGUUGGAUUCAUUGUGGAUUUUAUAGCAUGCUGCAAUUGUGAUUCGUCUUCAACAGUUGAAGGGACUCGCUGCCACGCUACACCACUAUAGCGCGCAAUUAACAACACAGACCUGACUGAUUAAUAGCGUCAUGGCAAAGACAAGGUCUAAUAGUUUAUAAAAUCUUGACUUAAUUUUUUCUUCUUUUUCUUCCUCUUGAAGAUAUUAUGUUUCGUUCUUUUUCUUUUUCUUGUGAUCCUGCUGUUUUAAGAUCAGGCAAAGCUCAUGUCUUAGUCUAUGGAAUGUAAGGAACAAUAGCUGAGGUAAAGCUUUAACUUGUCUAUAUGGUACCUCAAUUCUUACUUACAAUAUCCUUAAUUAAUUUGUUUUCUGCUUCUGCAUUGUUUUACUUUUUUGUUUUGGUUUUUUACAUCUUUUUUUUGUUUAUCCUUUUAUGUUAAGAGAGUCUGAAAGUAAAGCUUUCACUCGAGCCGAAAGCUGAAAAAUGCUUUACAUGGAAUGGUCUAGAGUUAAGAGUAAAAUAAUCUGAUGUGUCCAUAGAUUUUAUCUAGUAUUGUCGUAUUAGUAAUUCUUAUUAUUCUAUACUAUUCAAAAACUGUGCAAAACCAAUUUCUAUACUAUUCAAAAAACUUAUUGUGUUUUGUAAAAAACGACUUAUUGUCUUUGGUGUUUAUGUAUUCGUGUAUUUGAUCUUUGCUUACAUAUUGUAAUCCUCCUGGUCGGUAACCCUCACUAGUUUGAUGGAGCCAUGAUGGAAGAAACAUAUGGGAGGAAACAAAAAGAGGAGAGUGGUGAAGCUAGAUAAAGAAUCUAACAAUAGAGUGAAUCAAUUUUAUUGAACUGUCUCGUAGUUACAUCUUCUAAAUAAUUUUAAAUAAGGAAAUAUGAAGAGAAAUUGGUCAAAGAGUUAGCCGAAAUUUUUCCCAAUUUCAAACCACGUCAUUCACAUAUUUUCGUGAAUCACACUCGCACAUACUAUUAAGCAAUUUCCUUUAAUUAUAGUACUUUUAUUUUGCAGAUGGUGAAUAAUGAUGAUAUCGAUGAAGAAAUGCAGGAUUUUGAAGAUGAAGAGAGAUGUAGAUGUUUAAGUUUUGUAAUAGGAUAUACAUUUUGAAGAUGUUAGUUUGAUUGUGAAUGAUUCACGUUAGGAUAUAUAUACAUUAAAGAUCCAAUAACUCUUUGCUGAUCA
This 2788-nucleotide long non-coding RNA is filed under the name Trifolium pratense (red clover). RNAcentral's name for it is "long non-coding RNA (TPRA_LNC007537)". Lineage: Eukaryota; Viridiplantae; Streptophyta; Magnoliopsida; Fabales; Fabaceae. The record is from RNAcentral.